Long non-coding RNA from Xenopus laevis (African clawed frog), 1262 nucleotides. RefSeq lists it as uncharacterized. The transcript is spliced from 2 exons. Lineage: Eukaryota; Metazoa; Chordata; Amphibia; Anura; Pipidae. The record is from RefSeq and is a predicted model, not a curated record.
GGUCUAGGUUAUCUCUCCCCUUUGAAAGCUAAUGGCGGGGGAGGACUAAGCCCUAUGAUGAAAACCAAUGCCCAGGUCGGGAGACCUUAUUUUUCAGCUAUGGCAAGAAUGAGAUCCGAGCGUAAACCUGGACUGAGCGUGAAGAAGGGAGCCAGAACUGGAAGGCGUUAGGCAAUGAUCGGAAGUUGGACCUGGAGAUAUCAAUUUCUCUCACCCAGAACUGUGGGCUACUGGGAAAUGAUGCCGCAGCCUUGGAAUGCUCCGGGUGAGCAAGGCACAGACCAACAGACACGCCGACAGUACAAAUGGACAGUUCUCCUUUUAAAGUAAUUCUGUGGAGAUGCACUUUAUAACAGGGAUGAACAGAGCAGUAGCAUAACUAGAUGUUACUGGGCCCCACCACAAAUUAAUUUUAGGGCCCCAUCAUAUGCAGAGGUUGCCCUUUUUUACCAAUAUAUGUUGAAAUUGCUCAUUAAUUAGGGCCUCAUGGGGGCCCAUAUUCCUUCUGGGCCCCCCUGCAGCCAUAGAGCCUGCUUCCUCUGUAGUUACACCCCUGGUGCAGAGCUGUUUGGGGGCACUUGGGUGUUCUUACCCUGUCAAUUCAUGUGGGUGUAACUUAAACUCUAUAUGUCCCUUGCAAAAAAUGUUUUGACCCCUGACAGGUCCUCAUAUGGCCUCUCUUCGCUCAUGGGAUCUGCUACCCAGUUGACAAGCAGUAAUAAUCAAAGGGAGUGCUUGACAGCCAUCUUAUUACCCUUGGCACAGGGGGAUGUAAAAAAAAGUGGCGCUUGAUUUAAAGUGGGUGGGGCUUUGUGUAGAUUGUGGGUGUGGUUUGGAAAGAUUAAACAGGGUUAAAAGGUUGAAAUUUCUCAUUGUCAGGGAUGGGUUUGAUUUUUAUGAGACUGUGUUUUACAAGAGGGGGACGCUUAUCGCUGCUUUGUGACCCAUUAGUGUAGAAAGUAGAAAAGGGGCCCUGGCUGAUCAUCUUGCAAACAUUUUGGAUGCUAUAUAAGAUUUUGUUCUGGUUUCCCAUAAAUUCUAGUUAUGAAACUUAUAAUACUGUUACUUCCUAUUACAUAACUACAUGUCUUUAUUAAGGCAAGAAUAGCUUAUCUCAAAAUGUAUGGAGUUACCAUAAAGUGGGUGGGGUUUUGGGCUGGUCUGAGACAUGCCUGGGUACAACUGGGUGUGGUCAAGACAGAUCAGAGUGUGGCCUAAAUUAUGCUGAUUCUUCAUAUUAAAACUGCUCUUUUUAUCACUAA